Long non-coding RNA from Cuculus canorus (common cuckoo), 13882 nucleotides. RefSeq lists it as uncharacterized. The transcript has 4 exons. The record is from RefSeq and is a predicted model, not a curated record. Lineage: Eukaryota; Metazoa; Chordata; Aves; Cuculiformes; Cuculidae.
UGUAGGGGGAUGGAGCCACACCCAAAGAAGUUAGUUAAGAUUUUCUGUGCUGUGACAAAACCCAGGGCGUUCCUGUCAGGUCUGUUGUAAAUGGUGAGGCUCAGGGGUGGCCUGGGCUGUGCAGAGCAGCAGCUGCAGGGCUCUAAGGUAAAGCCAUGGUGCUGUCACUGAGAUCCUAAGCUGGAUCCCAGAUUUCCCAUCCAGGAGUCCUGCUGGAGCUCCUGAAGCUACAUUUGAAAGAAAAAAAGGUUGCUAAAUGUCAUCUACUAAAAACACCCGAACACAAAACCACUCACUCCAGUGGGACAGGUACCAUUGCAUUGUGCCUUUCUUAUGCAGUGCAGCCUUGGGUGCUGACAGCGCACCCACCCACCACACAACAGCCCAAAAGUCAGCUACAUUUUUUGGUUAAUAAAUGGUACUCACUAAGGUGGUACCCAAACUACUUGCUGGCUCUUAAGAAAUAAUUCAUAAAAUGUGUAGUUGUGAUACAGAACAUGGGGUUCGCAGGUGUCACCUGCCAGGCACGGUGAGCCUGAUGGGUCUGUGACCUGCAAAGCUGUAGCUAUGGACACUGUACCCAUCCCCUUCACACCUGGCUACUGGAAAUGGCUGCUUUUCACCUUCCAGUCCAAAAGCAACCAGAAACCCCUCACCUCUUACCCCAAGAUUUCUCUUACUGCUCUCCAAUGCCUACCUCCCCGUCUGUGAAUCACAAGCGGGAUAACCCUGGGUGCCGAUGCACCCUGAGGUGCAGGUGCACUCACGCCCUGGUGGUGCCAUUUCCCUGGCACAAAAGGGCUGGGAGCUGUGAGCCCAACUGCACUUUAAAGAGUUAAAGCCAAGUGCUCAUCCCCUGAUGGUCAGUGUGGGCAGCAGGGAGAAGGUAGGUACCAGGCUGGACAUUUUAACUGAGCUAAGUCAGUCUCUAGCAUUUUAAUCACAACUUUUCCUUUCAUAUCCAAUAUUCCAACACAGCAAACACCCUGCAGGCAUCACCCAUCUCUUAGGAGGCUGCACUAAGCAGGAAGGUGUAAUUGAAAUGCGAGGGAAACAUAUAAAGCUGGAAUCUAACCAUGUAAAAGUGGGGUACCUGCCAGGUUUGCACAGGGCACCGGGACCCUCAGCCAUCCCAGAGUGACCCCAUCCAGGCACAUGUCUGUCAGCGCACGCCACUAACCUGCUGUUUGCCCACUUUCAUCCCCCACUCACACCUUUCUCAUGUCCCAGCCCAGCCGGCCACAAUUCCCAGCACCUGAUGGGAAAUCCCACAAACGAGAUUGCUCUGGUCUGUGUUUGUGAACAUCAGUUUGAAACCAAAAACUGAGAUUGUUGAUAUUUCCAAACACACAAAAGCGCAAACAUUCCAUACUGAAUUCACACUGUUUGACAGUGGUUUUGUGCAAUCGCCUCAUAUCAAAGGCUGUUGAAAACUACACUGAACUACCUUACAGCUCAUUUGGAAAGCACUUGUUAGAAUACUGAUCAUUUUCAGCAUCAGUGCAGCUUUGCACUGUGCUUGGAUCCGAGUCACUGUGGGGAAAGCAUUAGUUUAUGGACACAAACCAGUUUUCCCAUUUAUUUUUUGAGGAGCAGUGAAGGAAACAGUUUAUUUUCCUGCAGGCAAAAGCUCAGUGGGACAAAAUGAAGUUCUUGUAAUGAAACAAUGCAACUUAAUUAAAUAUUUAAUAAAGAAUUAUAGAAGCUACGGCUUUUUAUACUUCAAAUAUAUUUUUGUCUAACCGAAGCUUGGUUUGGUUUUGUUAAACACACAAAUUCCCUCACGGUGACAGCUUGCAGGGAGGCUUCCCCAGCCAGGGCUGUGCCUGGGGGGGUGUGGGUGCAGCAACAUCUUUACCCGGUUUAUCCGUAAGCAAUUAAACACCCCAUGCACAUACCUCAGCUGCCGUAAAAGCAGUUCCCAGACUUUCUCAGUGAUCCUCACUGCAAUCGUAACCAGUAAUGUGUGCUCCAAAGAGAAGCUUGGAGCGGGGCUGGUGCACAGCCCAGACCCCUCAGUCUCUAAGGAUUCAUGAGUUCACACAAGGGCGGCGAUUACGCAGCACUGAGCAGCGUCACUAGAGAGCACACAGGACCCGCACCUCCCUGCCAGCUCUGCUCUAUCACCCUUUCCAACACAGGAGGCUUCACCAGUUUCUGCUCUGCCAUGGCCCAGCUCAGCUGUCACCAAAGCUGCACGCACAAACCCUUCCUGGUUUGCCAUUCCCAAAGUCCCUGUGAACAUCCUAUCACCUUUACUGCACAUUUCCUAUGUUUGCAGCAGAAUUGUCUGCAGCCCAGGUACUGUACGUGCUGCAAACACAUACCCUGCUUGCAACAAACUCAAUGUUGAGGUUAACAAUGCAAGUCAGCGUCUUGGUAAAUUUGGUUUGCAGUGUCACAAUUCCAGUGUUGCAGUGCCAACAGCAGCAGCAGUGUUAUCUUUGCACUGUCAAGUGACAAACUGUAAUGCUGAAGCCCCUUACGACACAAGUUUAACACCACACAAAGCACACCAACACACACAUCCCCAGCGAUACCUGCAGGGGUGUUAAUGCCAGGGCACAGUUAGAGCCGGUAGAUUUCCAAAACAUAAGAAAACCCCAACAACAGAGCAAUCCCAUUCAUGUUUCUAAGUGGCGAUGAAAAACAGAGUGGCCAGGUAGUGUUCUAAGCUGUUAGAGACUGCACAAGCCCUUGCUGUGUGCACCUGGCUAGUAGAGCUUUGCUACCCUUGGGAAACAGCAAACCAACCCACCAAAAGCUGAGGCAUUCAAAUCCUGAAUCAGUCCCGUAUCCCAGCACCACUCUCUAGCGCCCGCAGGAGACGCUGCCGUAGCUGUACUGAAGUCACUAACCCCUAUUGCCUGCCCUGAAACUCGCCCGCUUCCUACCCUGACCGUCCCUACUCCUGACAAAGGGAAAAUCCAUCACUAUCCAAAAUCAUUUCCCUGCUUUCAGCUUGCUGUCAUUAAUAACCACCACCACAAACGUCCAGCUGGACAAGUAUCUGUGUUACAGAUUCUGCCCAGUGUGAGUAGGGCAAAUGGCAGUGCUUCCAGCAAACACUUCCCAACAUGAAUAGUGCAGCUCAGGGACUGCUGCGGUGGUGACAGCUUGGUCUGGCACAUAAAUGGCUGUGCAAUUCAUAGGUUGUGCCUGGCGUCACAGGAAAUUGAUAGACACAGCUGCUUGAGCACAGCACCUGGGGUCAUUUUCAGUGUGAGGGAGCAUCUCCCUUUGUUUUGAACCUGAUGCCUCCUAACCUGAAUGAUUCUGAGAUAGAAAAGGCCUUUAAGAUCAUUGAGUCGAGCCAUAAACACAGCACUGCUAAUUUCACCCCCAAACCCUGUCCCCAACAACCACACCCACACAGCUUCACAUUUAUCCUCGUAUUCCUCCAACACCCCUACUUUCUCAGUGUGCAAAGUCCAAGCUUUCCUCCACUUGCCAGUUUCCAAUCCGGCUGGCUGUCCCAGCAACACUUCUACAAACACAUGCGUGUCCACUCUGGCUCCUGCACCCACCUCUGCCUCACACAACCUCUCUCAAAUGAGGGCUGACUGCAGUCCCAUGGCAAGAAAGCCUGAUGGGAACAGCCCUCGGAGCCAGUUCGCAUGGGAACCAGUCCUAGAGGUGGUUUUGGACCAGUCAAGGGAGAUGAAGCCAACAAGAAGUGCUGCCGUACUUAUGUCACUGGUGACAACCUGAACAGCACAUCCAUCACCUCCGCAGGCUGGCAAAGAGCUUCUGCUAACGUGCAGAACUGUCUUCUGCAAAGCUGGUGCACAAACAGCUCCCUGGGGGUACCUGGAUAAAGGACACAGGGGUGCCAAAGCCUGCAAUCAGGCACCUGCUGCCACAUCAGCUCGGUGUGCGUUAGGCUUGGCAAUGCGUCAGCUGCUCCAGCGAACAGCAGGGCAGAGGGGCCUGGCAGCCAGGACACGCGAACGCCUGAAAAUUCAUUAUGGCUAUUAGGACAUUAAUUAGGCAGAGAUAACACAGUACAGCAACUGAGCAUGUGAGAAUUACCAUCAUUGUUGGAGACUCAGUUCUAACUAUAUUUAAUGACUACUGAGGCCUUGAAAACCUAUUGGCACUCACAAAAGGAUGAAAUGCCUUGGAAAAAAAACCUGGCUCCUACCUGCUUCUCAGAGCCAGCCUCCCCUUUGCCUCAGUAGCCGUCAGGGGCUGAGGUCCAUCCAGCUGAGCUCCAUGCUUUUCUUUCACUCCAAGGCUGGCUCCACCUAAACCCUGCUAUCAUUUACAGCCCUGCAUAAUGUCCAAACAGCUCCAGUGCAAUAAGAAAUCAUCUCUUGAUCAUCACCAUUGAUUAUUUUCAUCAGAUUCUGAUUGAGAGCCUUGUUCAAAUUUGAUUUAUUCAUGCUUAAAUGCGUCUGCUCUUUUCACCUGCUUAUCUGCUGCUGAUGUUGUGAGCGUCUCAGCACCCUGGCUGAUCAGACCCUUAAAGUGCAAUCCAAUGUAAACUUAAAGAUUAUUCAUUACAAAUGCACAAACCUAUUUGUGUCUCAACCUCAUUAAAACAAGUUUUGAGGGUACAUUCCCGCGCACUCUCCUCUCUCUGGUAACUCUCCCUGGCACUCCUCAGUGCCGUGCAGCCACUUUCCAAUCCAGGCCUGCAGCUCUUUUUCCAAUUCAAAUACAGUCAAAUUCAAGUGUUCUAAAGAUUUGCCACCAUGUUUUUACCAAUAACUGAGAACUGGGUGGGCUUUGAAGGUCCUUUCCAACCCAAACCAUUCAAUGAUUCUAUGACUUGCACACACUGAGUUUCAUCUCGAGGAACACUGAAUGCUCUCAGGUAACGCCACCCUCAGCUGUAGAGUAUAUUUGCACAGCAGAGUGAGCAGCAACCACUGGGGUGGCAAAGUGACUGACUGGAGUGGCAAAGUCACAGCAGCGCAUGCAAGGACAGGCACACAGCAUUUGUACUCUGGUUUCUGGUUUUUAAUGUCUGGUCUCAUCAGCGUAAGCCAGCACAGAUGCAGUUGCUCAACUUUUUUUUGCUGCCUACAUGCAGAAACAGAUGGGCCAAACCUGAGGUGUGGGCUUGUUUUGCUCACUUGGACUAAUUCCUUGUCCAUUUUGCCCCCUUCUCGGGCUUAGUAUGUGCUGCUCUGACGAUGGCUCUGUACAAAUCUCUGUGCCACAGAGCUUUUCUGCGAGGGCUUCAGAGGUUGUCUCCAUGUUGCAGUAAAGCUCAGUUUUCAUCCUACAGACCUCUGUCACUACUGGAUUAGCCAGAGUACACGACCUCCCCCUGAAAUCAGUUUUAAACAGCUAAACUUUGAACCUUAACCUAAGGUUAAACAGUAACAGAGAUGGGUGCUGGAUCAAUGCUUGGCAAACAUCAGUCACACGCAGUGGGCAGACACUGCUCUGCUGCUCUCUGGACGCUGAUGCAGGACAUCUCUCUAGUGUUCUGUGUAAAGAAACCCUUAACAAGAACCACUAACUACUUUGAAGCCGCCAGAGGUUAAGGUUUCGUGCAAGCCUAGGCGUUUCCUUCCUCUGCAGUCCAUCCAGAGCACAGGGAAUUGAGGGCUACUUGUUCCCACAACUGACAAUGCUUUCCCUCCCGUCCUGGUAACUCCCUCUGUUCCAGCACUUCGCCUCUACAAACAACAGCCUUUACGAAGCUUUAGGCAGUUCUUCUUCCUAAUCAGGCCUGCAGGCAGUUCAGUGUCUCUGAUUAUUUAAUAACAGUGCAAAUAGACAUUGUGAUUGCAUGUUAUCUACAUGGCUUGUUACAACACGCAUCUCAGACCGAAGAUUUCCCAAUAAAGCCCCUGCAUUUUAAAAAAAGAAUAAAUAGGAGCAUGCAGACCAAAUCAUUAAUUCUUUUUGCUCCUUUUAUAAAGGGCUCUGUUAUUUGAUAGCAAGAGAGGAAACUUCUCCCGGUUGCUCCUUUCUGCCUUUUAUUUGUAACAACAGCAUCAACUCUAAUACAAGGGAUUCCAAGCACCCAAUAUUCAGGAAUAAAACCCUUUACAGUGAACUGUCACCAGCACUGUUCCUCAUUCUGUGCCUUUUAGAACACAAAAAACUUAAUCAGGAGUUAAACAUAGAGACACAUGGGAAAGAGAGCCAGCACCAGUUCUUCUGAACCAGAAUUAUAAUCUGCCCCAAUGUGAAUUCCUGGAAGCUAGGCUUUGCUUCACCUCUGGCUUUGAUUAAAAACAAAUGAAAGAUCAGCCCUGUUUUCUGUGGAGACCCCUUCCCCUCAGAAUUUUUGACAGCUGCUUUUGUAUCUUCAAUGUAGGAGCUAGGAAACUCAGACCAGACCCAGUCCCAGAACCUCUGGCCUCUGAUACUUUUACAGAGCACAGCAAAUCCUGAAAUACGGUCUGGCGAUACAUACCCAACAUAUACUGCCAAUUGAUCAUGAACACCUAAAGGUUUGUGAAAAACACCUGAAGGUAUCUCAAUUUCUGCUUAUUCUCACUACAAAGUUAUUACUUGUUGUGUGGCACAGCCUAAGAGCAUUCAUACAAGGAGCUCAGUAUUUUGCUUUCCUCUUUCUGGUGAUAAAAGCAGCGUUUCCACCACUGUAGCUGCAGGGAGCAGUCAGCACAGAGUCAGGCUUGGCUCUGAGCAGCACUGACAGGAGCAUUCCUUCCAGCUUCACUGCCAAGAUUCCUUUCCUUAACAUUACCCUAUCCAGCUUUCACUUAGCUCUGCAAGAACAGAAAGGGGUGAAGAAACUGUGCUACAUCCACUCCUGAGCUGCUUUUAGGUCUUGCUCCCUGUCUGCCCACGCUGCAUCCCUCCUUCUCUGGCUCCUUUAUCGCCAGGACAAAUAACUGCCAGACCCAAGCCCAUCACCAGUAUCUGAAAUCCCAGAGAAAAAGAACAGGCAGAAGCAAUUCAAAGCACUUCAGGGGGCACUUACAAUAAUUCACCACUGCUUAGCAAUGACAGGUUCUUAGAUUUUGUCUUCUGUGCCAGUUCGACCUACAGCAACUCCUACGGAAACACUUCUGGUACGGACCCAGGCAUCUUUUGCCCAGAACCAGGCAACCUAGGACAGCACUGUGGUGGGAAAGAGGUCAGGCUGGAUGGCGGGGACGAGCAGCAGCCCACACCGGGAGUUAACAGCCCUCAGGGGAGUUAAGAGGCACCUCCGAACCCACUGCAUGCACAAAUGGGGCUACCCAAGAACAUCCACAACGCUUUUACCACCUCUAACAACAACAGAGCACCAGCACUGGUGGUGUUUAACAGAGAGAGCAGAGAGGCAUCUGACUGUCACAGCGACACUAAGUUAAUCUGCAGGAAGAGUUGUCAUCAAGCCUUUCUGUUACUGAUUAAAAACACCUCUUUUCUCUUUGUGCCCUAAGGCAAAUGUAUGCGCACACACAUAUAUAUACGCUUUUAUCUGUGCCUCAGCAGUGUUUAAACAGCUUUGUUUGAGCACACGUUCAUACCCUGAAGGACAGGAGUCCAACGACCAGUUCGUCCGUUCAGCUGCGCACCUUCCGAGUAGCUUGUUUGUUCCUGGCUAUCGGUUCCUACUGGCAGACCAACACAGUGGGCGGGAAGGCAACCCCACCCAAAACCCUCCAGCCAGGGAUUCACCAAACUCUUUCACACCAUGAGAUGUGAAUUAGAUUCUAACACACACGGAAAAGCCCACCACAGAUCCUCGAGAAACUCCUAGAGGAAAGCCUAGCAGCUGCCCUCUCCCCUUAAUCUUCUCUCCUAUGGCUGGAUGUUUGGUGGGACGAAGACUUCUCUUUUCGCCCUGUCAGGAGUACCAAAAGCCCCACAUAAGGCAGAUUUCCCUUCCCUGUGUGCCAUGGCAUCCUUCACAUUUGGGCUGCAUCAUUUUUUCCAUACAAAAGCACUCCAACUCUUUCCCACAUUUUGUCACACAUUUUGUUUCCCCAUUAACUUCUACACUUUCCUGUCAUCUGUCAGACAGCACUUAAGGUCCAGGACGCGCAUUCAUGCAGUACAGGCUGAAGAAUGCCUUUAAAUCUAAAUCAUCACUCCACUAGCUUCUAUAGACCAGUUAAAAUGAUCAUGCAUGGAACACAAGGUCCUUUGGAUUGGUAAAUCUGUCCUUAAAAUAGCUGAAUUAAAAGAAACAAAUUUUUAUUAAAGACAACCCAAUACGCAUCACUUCAAUCAGAGAACUCAAAUAAGUGCUACCUGGUACCUCUCACAGGGCUGUGCCCAACCUCUUCCUGUUCUCCUCACACUCCCAACCGUAGCACCUAAAAGCGGAUAAAAAAACCCAAACGCUCAAAACUUUAUGCAAAUCAAAGCAUAAUUUUAAAUAGCACGUAAAAAGCAAUAUUUUUAUUUCAAACUGCACUAUUUAUGCCAGCUCUCAAGAACUAAAUAAAAAUGCAGUUCCAAAUUAAACAGAAACCUUCCUAGGUUUGAAUUUCACUGGGGUCGAAGCGCUUUAUCAGUGAUGCGUUUCAGAAAGCCUUUCUUUGCAGAAAGCCUCGCUCCCUGGGGCAGAGGUGAUCUAGCCAGCUCUCGCCAGCCUGUGGCUGACUUGGAGAGAACCGUAUCCCACACUCCUCACCAAGAGAGCCAUUCAUCUUCGUGUGUUGCCCAUAAUCCAUACAGUAACGGACUUGCAAAUGCACACACCGGAUAAAAUCCAGCCCUACGGAAAUCAUCAGGAACUCUUCUGCUGGUGGUGCUGCCAUAGAUGUUCCCCGGAGCAGUCACCCACUUCCAUAACACCCAAGCUCACAACUGAUCACAAUUCCCUCCAUGCGCUCUGCUGCAGCGCGGCAGGCCCCGACAAGGAGCCUCCAGUCGGUCCCUCAGUCUCUGGCACUUCCCCGCCCCAUCUCCUAAGCUCUAUUACAUCUGCUUUUCCCAAGGAACCUCUGCAAGCUGCAGCAGUGCUGAUGGGUUUGAGAAACAGGCCUGGACUGCCAAGGACAUUCUGUGUCCCCAGCCUUGAGAUUUCACAAACAGCAAACGGUGCCAGUCUGGAAGUCCUCAGUCUGUCCUGGAAAGGAGAGAUGCUGUACUCUGGACUAUCGGCAUGCAACAGAGCCUGAGAUUUAAGGAAAUUUAUAAGAGUAGCCUUUUUCCUCCUCUUAGUGUCUUUUCAGCCAUUAACUGUGAAAACACAAAUAACUCGCUUUUCAGUCAAUAUUCUUCACACUCUGAAAUAAGCCUCAAAGUAACUUCAGAAAACUGAGUGUGAUAUCCCAGCUGCUACCUCUGAUCCUCUCCUCUUAACCAGCCUCUGCCAUUUCACAUUUCUUUACCCAAAUGAUCCCAAGAUCAUCUGAUCUUACAGUGCAACUACUGCACAGUGGUCCCACUAGCUGACAGAGUGAUGCCGUUUGCUCGCUGCUUCAACAGCAACUCAGACAUGGUUAGAAGAGAGAACUAGCCCUGCCUGGAUGUUUCAGCGCUGUUCUGGCCAUAGCUCACUUUCUCGAGAUGACAUCAGCACACAAAUUCAGCACAGACAACCCCAUUUUUCCUUACUGUCGUGUACUGCAUCUCACACCACAGGACCAAGGUAGCUUGGGCACACACCUCUUAGAAAAGACUAGUUCAGUUGGAAGGGAGCUAUAGGGACCUUCCGGUCCAGCUGCUGGACCACUUCAGGGCUGAUCAAAUGUCAAACCACAUUGUUAAGGGCAGUGCCCAAAUGCCUCUCAAACCCUGACAUGCCUAGGGCUCUGCCUGCCUCUCCAGGAAGCCUCUUCCAGGGUCUGACCACCCUCUCAGGACAGAAAUGCUUCCUUGUGUUCCGUCUGAGCCUCCCCACCUCAUCUUUGAGCCAUUAGGGCCAGAGCUACACACAGACCUAAAGAUGAGGCCGGACCAAUGCUGAAUCCUGGUUAUCCUGUGUUUGACACCCCCGGAUGCGGCUUGCCCUCCUGGCUCCUGUUGAGCUGCUGCCGACCAGCAGCCCUGACCAGUUCUGCAGGGCUGCUCCCAGCCAUUCCUCUCCAAAUCCACACUUGUGCCCAGCACUACUCUGUCUCAGGUGCAGAAUCCAACACUUAAAUUUUUUCAGCUUCAUGCCAUUGAUGAUUGCCUAGAGCUCCGAUCCAUUUGGAUCCUCCUGUCCCUUAAGCCAAUAGCUCCUCCCAGUUUGGAAUCAUGGGCGAACUCACUAAGGGCAUCCAACUCCUGCAUUCAGAGCCCUGGUACAAACAGCACUGGCCCUAGAACAGAGCCUCAGGGAAUCCCUGCUGGCAAACCACAGCUCUGGAAUCCUUCUGCAAAGCCUGACCUUGCUUCCAGGGACCAUCCAAGAGGAUUCCCUGUUCAGUCAAGCCCUGCUUGCCUAAUCUCGGCACGAGGGGAUUGCCGGCUCCUGCGCAGGGUGGUUGGUAAAACCGGACCAACGCUCAUGGCCCUGACUCUCCAAAGCCGUUCCUGGGGGCGCAGCUCCCUGGGGAGCUUCAUGUGUGCUCUCUUGACAUCCAGGGCGACACCUCCGCUGAGCUUCCUUCUCACUACACCAAAACUUUAACUCUGCCAUCUCGUGACCACCGUGGCCAGGACAGCCACCCCCACCCCCUACCUUGCUCCCAAGGAAGCCUGAGCAGAAUCUUUCCCAUUUGGCUCACUGGGUGCUUGUGACAAGAAAUUAUCCUCAACAAACCUCAGUCUUUUCCCCAACACAUCUGUCACAGCAGCAUGGUACUCGUGCCUGGCCAAGUUACUCACCACUCCCAAAUUAAAAUGGGACUCAAUGUUCUACUGGCAUUUAGGAACUGUGAAACAAACUGAAUCUUGCUACACAAACCACUUAGUUUCAGAGCGCUUGCUCAUUUAACCUGGAGUUAACACAGAGCUCUGGCUUACUGCUUACAGAGGGCUGAUAAGAACUAUUAAUAUUUAACGUUCUCAAGCCCAUGUACAUGAAAUAGUUCCAGCAGGCCAUCCACAAGAACAGCACACCUUAAUUCACUGGUCUCACUGCAAACGCAUGAGCGCUUUCCCACCAGAAGUUAUUUUUCACAACAGUAACAUACGUUCCCUUUGGCAGCAGCGACCAGGCAGCCCUGGAGCACACCCCAGCUUGGCACACUGUCAGUCUGCCAAGAGCCCGAGCGUCGCUGUUACAGCCCCCUGUACCCCAGAGGCACCAAAGAAUGGCGCUGGGCUGUUAAAAUCCAACAGACUUGGCCACCAUAGCAGGCGCCUGGAGACUGGGGCUGAAACUGCAAUGAACGUUCCCACAGCACAGCCUUGCCAGAAGCACCUUGGGACACGAGGCCCCAUCACACAGGCAGACAACAGCCUCGACAGACAAGUCCUGGAGAAAUAAAGCCCCCAGUACCAAUCCUAUCGGAGGGAAGGCUUGCGCCUGAUCCAUUUCAGGGCCAGUAAUGUUUAACAGCGCCGGGCUCCAGGGCGAGGGUCGGCUCUAACCCCACAGCAGUGUGCGCAGCCGGUGGCUGUGGCACAGUGGGGAUGAGUGCCACCUUUGCACAGUGCCCAUCCUGCUACGCCACGGGAGCGGCAGCUGCAUGGCACAGGCAGCAGGAUAACAGCCAAAGUAAGUGGGAAACAGCAGGCAAAACCUGGAGGGAAUCAUCCGCUUUCCACUGGGGACAGAGAUUAAGACCUGUGUAUGUGGUGGUUUGUGGUUUCCACUCACAAUAAACUUCCCAAGAAGAACAAGUUUUCAGGAGUAUUCUAGAAGCAGCAGGAAUUUCCAAAUCAUUUGGCAUCUAAUUUCAAAGUACUGGCCCCAAACCAGUCUGCAACAGCAAAGGAUGUUGCAAUGCUGUUUCCCCAGCGGCUCCCUGUGCUGCGGGCAGUGCUUCGCUCCCCACUGCAGAUCGCCUGUUGAGGAAAGCAGCUCUUUGUCCAGAAACAACCCCAGGAAUACCAAGAUCCCAUAAAGGGCGAGGGCAAGGUGUCCACUGCAAACACAGGCUUUUGAUAGCGGACCGGACCGGUGCUGGGGACUAGUACAACAAAACCAACUCCGAAGAUCCGAGUAUGGUGAUGUUCAUCAAGAUGCCACGCAGGAAAGCUCAGUGCUGACGAGCCCUAGGAUGCCCCAGCAGAUGGCGGGCAGUGCUGUUGGAUGGUGUCUGAGCCCCGUGCUGAAGGCUGCAGCGUGUACACGACUUCUUCCCCGGACUAAGGACCGAGUGCUGCCAGAGCUGUGGAGUGUGACAAUGGUGUUUGUGUCAAGGCUAUCAAACGCCAUUAUCACACUAAAUAGCUACACGUAGGCAAGGCAUCGAUUCAGAAAAGAACAGGCAACAGGUUUUCCCACCAUGCUGAGGAAUAAAGAACCUCUUUACACCUAUGCCAGGACAAUUCUGCUGUUUCCUUUAUUAGCAAAGCACCACAAUCUGGGAAAUGGGAACUGUGCCACAAGCACUUCCAGGUUCCCAUCGUACAGCACACAAGUCAGCUUAAGGAAUCACUGUUACAAUGGUGUCACCAGAGUCGCUGGGGCUGUGAUUACCCCUGCAAAACGAAGCCAGCUGGGGAUUUGCCUUUGCCUGCCGAACAGACCAGGACAAGAGCACCAAAGCCAACUGGCUGAUGUAGCGAGACUCUGGCUCUUACCCUGGCACCAAAUUAAACAAUACGUUUAGAAUAUUAAUUGACUGAGACGCUCGUGACAGCUUUCAUACAGAAUGCUUCCCAAAAUUCUGAUAAAAGCUAUUACUUCUAACUUGAACCAUUACUUAUUCAGGUCCCCAGUGCUUUCAGCUUUGUUCCCUCACUUGUCACAACUGUAUGCAUGAUUUGAGCACCACACUCAAGUCUGUUGUUGCAUACUCUCAAGCUACUCAUUUGGGAAUGGUCACAAUUUCCCCACAGGAAUUCUUCUGAAAACUCUUGUAAAGAAUAGCGACCCUCUGUAGGAACCUGCAAAGGGCUAAUGAAAGCCAGGCACCAACAUUGCACUGAGAAGCCCAACUCCCAUCAAACAAUCCAAGUUAUAGGCACAGAGAAUAUUGUGCUCCAACUUGCAAUGAGAUUGGUAACCUUAUAUUCACCAGUGUGUUCCAAACCCCACCCUUCCUCAUGCUCAUAAGCAGGCAUGGAUACGGAAUAGGAAGGUUCCUACGGUUGGGAAGAGAGUUGCGGAAAGAGACCAGGUACUAAUGUGUGCAGUUCAUCAUUUAUAGAUUACACUCUGUUCCCAUGUGCAACUGAUUUUAUUGUAGUGUUUCCCAACAGACCAUCUUCAAUGAAUUACUUCACUUUAUUACCUAAACCUUGUUUUCUUCCGCGGAACAGUCAUUAGUAAUGCCUUCUGCUGAAAAUUAGUGGAAGAACCACGAUGGUGCAUAUUAAAAUUGAGUUCCAGUCUAGGCAGUUUUAGAAGAAUUCUCUGCACUUCACAUCAUAACAACACAAGUCUUCACAGAGCCCAGAACAGGCUGCCUCAACCCCCCACAAUCACUGCUUGCAUUCACAAUUUGUGAACUCUGUGCUGAGAAACUGCCCUGCGCCUCUGAGUGGGCAUCUGACACAGCGAGGAAAGGUGCCUAAACGGACGGUAAUCCAGCAGCCUCCUGAUAAACCAGUGCAGAACUGCAAAAGGAGGAAGAUAAAGCUUACUGCCUACAGAAGAAAGACUUUUGGGUGCUUUUUUUCCUCUUCCAACUCUGCUUUCCCAAAUGAACAUCAGUCGCAGUGGCAGGGAAGGGGAAGGAGCAGGGGCAAUGACAGAGGAGGCGGAGGGGAGGUGGGAGGCAAUGGUGGGUGUGGGACUGCAGGGACAAGGCAAGCAGUAUGGGAAUCCGAGACCUUGAGUACGGCACCAGUUCCACAGCCACUCAUUCACCUGCUCAAUUUCACUCCUUUUGCUCAGACCUCUUCUCUGACUGGAGAGAGGACAGAGACUACCACCUGUUCCCCCCCAUCCCUUUAACUUCGUCCUAAGGGA